CAAAACUCAAUGGCAAUCUAUAAGAAGCUGGGUGGUGAGUGGACAAUAGGGAACAACUAUGCAAAUGCUUCUAACGGAAGGAUAUGGAUAAUGUGGAAAGAUGUCAAUGUUCAGGUGGUACUACUGGAAAGCACUGAUCAACUAAUACAUUGUCAGGUGAAAGAUAAUAAUUCAACCUUUACUAGCUACAUCACCUUUGUAUAU
RNAcentral lists this long non-coding RNA (204 nucleotides) under Nicotiana benthamiana. Its description in RNAcentral is "long non-coding RNA (NBEN_LNC042471)". Lineage: Eukaryota; Viridiplantae; Streptophyta; Magnoliopsida; Solanales; Solanaceae. The record is from RNAcentral.